AUUGAACGCUGGCGGCAUGCUUCACACAUGCAAGUCGAACGGUAACAGGGUGCUUGCACCGCUGACGAGUGGCGAACGGGUGAGUAAUGCGUCGGAACGUGCCGAGUAGUGGGGGAUAACGCAGCGAAAGUUGUGCUAAUACCGCAUACGUACUGAGGUAGAAAGUGGGGGACCUUCGGGCCUCACGCUAUUCGAGCGGCCGACGUCUGAUUAGCUAGUAGGUGAGGUAAAGGCUCACCGAGGCGACGAUCAGUAGCGGGUCUGAGAGGAUGAUCCGCCAACCCGGGACUGAGAAACGGCCCAGACUCCUACGGGAGUCAGCAGUGGGGAAUUUUGGAAAAUGGGCGAAAGCCUGAUCCAGCCAUGCCGCGUGUCUGAAGAAGGCCUUCGGGUUGUAAAGGACUUUUGUCAGGGAGGAAAUCCCUAGUGCUAAUAACACUGGGGGAUGACAGUACCUGAAGAAUAAGCACCGGCUAACUACGUGCCAGCCGCCGCCGUAA
Molecule: ribosomal RNA, 500 nt
Filed under: uncultured bacterium
Lineage: Bacteria
Description: partial 16S ribosomal RNA
Rfam family: Bacterial small subunit ribosomal RNA
Source: RNAcentral